GGAAGUCUUUCCACAAUGGGCGAAAGCCUGAUGGAGCAACGCCGCGUGUGUGAUGAAGGGUUUCGGCUCGUAAACACUGUUGUAAGAGAAGAAUGACAUUGAGAGUAACUGUUCAAUGUGUGACGGUAUCUUACCAGAAAGGAACGGCUAAAUACGUGCCAG
RNAcentral lists this ribosomal RNA (162 nucleotides) under uncultured bacterium. RNAcentral's name for it is "partial 16S rRNA". It matches the Rfam family "Bacterial small subunit ribosomal RNA", at positions 356 to 511 of the family's 1533-position model. The record is from RNAcentral.